GAUGAAGAACGUAGCGAAAUGUGAUACUUGGUGUGAAUUGCAGAAUCCCGUGAACCAUCGAGUCUUUGAACGCAAGUUGCGCCCGAGGCCUCCUGGUCGAGGGCACGUCUGCCUGGGUGUCACGCAUCGUCGCCCCCUCUCCCCUCGGCUCGCGAGGGCGGGGGCGGAUACUGGUCUCCCGCGCGCUCCCGCUCGCGGUUGGCCCAAAAUCGAGUCCUCGGCGACGGUCGCCACGACGAGCGGUGGUUGAGAGACCCUCGGACACGGUCGUGCGCGCGCCUGUCGCCCCCGGGAUCUCCUGGACCCUCGGGCAUCGAAAUUCUAGGAUGCUCUCGUUGCGACCCCAGGUCAGGCGGGACUACCCGCUGAGUUUAAGCAUAUCAAUAAGCGGAGGA
This 395-nucleotide unclassified non-coding RNA is filed under the name soil metagenome. RNAcentral describes it as "partial contains 5.8S ribosomal RNA, internal transcribed spacer 2, and large subunit ribosomal RNA". The stretch from base 1 to 122 matches the Rfam family "5.8S ribosomal RNA", at positions 35 to 154 of the family's 154-position model. The record is from RNAcentral.